GACGAACGCUGGCGGUGUGCUUAAUACAUGCAAGUCGAACGAAGAGGCCCUUUCGAGGGUACUUCAGUGGCGGACGGCUGAGUAAUGCAUAGGUAACGUGCCCUUUAUUGGGGGAUAACACCGGGAAGCUGGUGCUAAUACCGCAUAAGUGCUGGGUUGAAAUACCCAUCAUUAAAGAUUUAUCGAUAAAGGAUCGGCCUGUGUCGGAUUAGCUAGUUGGUAGGGUAAUGGCCUACCAAGGCGAUGAUCCGUAGUUGGUCUGAGAGGAUGACCAGCCAGAGUGGGACUGAGACACGGCCCACACUCCUACGGGAGGCAGCAGUAGGGAAUAUUGCGCAAUGGGCGAAAGCCUGACGCAGCAACACCGCGUGGAGGAUGAAGCUUCUCGGAGCGUAAACUCCUGUCGGCAGGGAAUAUAAUGACUGUACCUG
This 431-nucleotide ribosomal RNA is filed under the name uncultured bacterium. RNAcentral describes it as "bacterial SSU rRNA". It matches the Rfam family "Bacterial small subunit ribosomal RNA", at positions 28 to 481 of the family's 1533-position model. The record is from RNAcentral.